This 123-nucleotide ribosomal RNA is filed under the name Russula sp. 1 GL-2015. RNAcentral describes it as "partial 18S ribosomal RNA". The record is from RNAcentral. Lineage: Eukaryota; Fungi; Basidiomycota; Agaricomycetes; Russulales; Russulaceae.
UGCAGGGCUGUCGCUGACCCUCAAAGGUCGUGCACGCCCGAGCACGCUCUCACACAAUCCAUCUCACCCCUUUGUGCAUCACCGCGUGGGUCCCUCCCCCCUUUGUGGGGAGGGGGCUUGCGU